GGGGUUUUUGAUUUUUAGCUGAAAAAGUGAUUCGUGUGUGAUUUGGAGAAGGGAAUGGCGUUUAUUUCUACUCCUCCAGCUUCAUUCUCUGGUUCUUCGGCAUCUGAUCUUCUUCGGAGCUCGAGUAAUGGCGUUAGUGGUAUUCCUUUGAGGGCACUAGGGAGAGCGCGAUUCAACCCAAGAAGGAAGGAUAUGUCAGUCAGUGCCAAGUUAAGG
Molecule: unclassified non-coding RNA, 216 nt
Filed under: Hevea brasiliensis (rubber tree)
Lineage: Eukaryota; Viridiplantae; Streptophyta; Magnoliopsida; Malpighiales; Euphorbiaceae
Source: RNAcentral